GCAUAUAGCUCAAGCGGUAGAGUGCUUACCUAGCAUGCACGAGGUCCUGGGUUCAAUCCCCAGUACCUGCU
This 71-nucleotide transfer RNA is filed under the name Camelus bactrianus (Bactrian camel). It matches the Rfam family "tRNA". Rfam says of the family: Transfer RNA (tRNA) molecules are approximately 80 nucleotides in length. Their secondary structure includes four short double-helical elements and three loops (D, anti-codon, and T loops). The record is from Rfam by way of RNAcentral. Lineage: Eukaryota; Metazoa; Chordata; Mammalia; Artiodactyla; Camelidae. RNAcentral also lists the same sequence under 1 other name.